AAAGAGUCUUCAGAUACAUGUGACUUAGAACAAAUGACAGAAGAGACAGACACUGAAAGUGACACAUCAGAAAAGGAACUUAGCUUCGAAGAACGAAUACAAAGAAAAUUCAAAGGAUAUUUUCCUUUGCCGGUAGGAAACCUCAAAGAGCCAUCAUCUACAAAUCUCGUGAGAGUUCCAGAUGAAUCCCAUACCAAACAGUUAGAAAAGGAAUUUAGGAGAAAACCUUUCAACUACU
Long non-coding RNA from Mytilus trossulus (common blue mussel), 238 nucleotides. RefSeq lists it as uncharacterized. The record is from RefSeq and is a predicted model, not a curated record. The transcript has 3 exons. Lineage: Eukaryota; Metazoa; Mollusca; Bivalvia; Mytilida; Mytilidae.